Molecule: long non-coding RNA, 5096 nt
Filed under: Xyrichtys novacula (pearly razorfish)
Lineage: Eukaryota; Metazoa; Chordata; Actinopteri; Labriformes; Labridae
Source: RNAcentral
UGAUUAUACAGGGGCAGGGGCUCAAGUUUUUUCCAGUUGUUUAUACAAUAUGGAAAUUAAUGUGAAAUUAAAAAACAAAGUAUUAAUAGAAAGGUAAUGACUGUCCUGUGUAGGUGACAGUGAUAUCCAAUAGGCUAGGCACUCACGAGGCUGGCUGUGGCAAGUGUAAGUGAAAGCAACACGCACUGGCAGGAAGAACAGCAAACGCCGAUGAAGGAAAAGGGUCUUUGCAGUGAUGGGCGUUACCAGAGAGGGCGAUGGCCAGAGGACACAAAUGGGACGGGGAGGCAGCGCGUUGGGGGGGGACGCGACACAGCUCGGGCCCGCCAGUGCCCCAACGGGGUCCUAGUUUUUCUUUUUCCUCCCCUUUGAACUGGAAAAUGGCCCACUUCCCACUGGCGAAAACUCAUGAAAUUUGGCAGGACGACCGGGCCUGGUGAAAAAUUUGAUAUUCUGAAGUCGCCCAAACAAUAAAAUGCAAAAUGGCUCCAUAGCGCCCCCUAAGAUGAAAAUUCACACUAUUGACUGUCACGGCUGUACGCUUUGUCAUAUUGACACAAAAAUUGACACACACAUGUAUCUCAAUAAGAUCUACAAAAAAGUCAGUGCAGGCGUAUCUGUCAAAUUUACGGUUAAAGGGUUAUUUCGCAUUUUUUGGCGAUCCACACACAUCGGAAUUUCGCUAACUCCUCUAAAGACUUUCGUUCCUUCGGCACAACAUUUGCUCAGGUCAAUCUACACCCCAUGGCCAUUAAAAGUUAUUCAAAUCAUGACGCUGCACCCCAUGGUUUAGGUUCUAGGGGGCGCCAAAGAUAACCCUAAAAUCCACAUAUUUAAAAGUCUUAUAACUUUUUAUUUUUGUCCCCACUGGCCUCCAAGUUUUCUAGGAUGAUGCAAUGUCCAGCCAUCAACACAUUUGUGAAGGAAUUUUUACUCCCCAAAAGAGCGCCCCCCCAUGGCAGGAGAAAAAAGUCAAUUUUUUCUUGUCCACUAAGGUGAAAAUACACAUUGUUGAGUGCUACGCCUGUAUGUUUUGUCAUAUUGACACAAAAUUUGACAUACACGUGUAUUUCAAUAAGAUCUACGAAAAAGUCAAUGGGCACGUAUCUGUAAAAUGUACGGUUAAAGGGCAAUUUCGCAUUUUUUGGCGAUUUGCACACAUUGGAAUUUCGCUAACUCCUCUGAAGGCUUUCGUUCCAUUGGCACAACAUAAAAAAAAAAAAAACUUGUGUAGAUCCUCCUCUAUGUCAGUCCAUAUGUAAUUUUUCCAUAAUUCUUUGUUUUUUGCAGCAUUUUUGUUAGUGUAACUGCAGAUUGUGCUGACAGUGUCUAUGGCAAAAAAAAAAAAAAAACUGAAAAUGCCUCAACAUGAACCCCUGGUGGUCUCUGAGGGUGAAACCUGCUAACUGCUGCAGCUCUGUCAGCUUCAGUCUCCCAUGCAGAGCUCGGAGCGCAUGUGUGGCUCUGCACCCUUAGCAGCGUUGCCUACUCCUCAGUAAGGAAAGCCUGCUUCAUGUCAGAGUCUCUAAACUCCAGAAGAAGUCGAUAAAAUUCCCUUUCUUUCUAAAAAAAAAGUCGUUAGGGGGUCUGAAAAGUCAUUGAAUCUAACAACAAAGUCGCUAGGUUUGCAACUACGCGUCCCAGACUGCAUCCCUGCUGAGAGUCCCUCCCUCCCUUCUCAUAUUGCAGGAAGAACGUAAGCGCCCGCCCCUUGUCAAUCAGUCACCAUAUAAUUUUGGAUUGGUUGUUGUGGUGAAGUUUUCCACCAAUAGGAGAGAUGUUGUGGUCUGUUUUUUUUUUUUCUUUUGGCAAGCCUUUUCCGCCUGUAAGAGCUGUCGCUAAUGUCUGCAUGCUAUGUAUUCCUGUCUCAUACAGCGCGAUUGAGCGCCGAACGUGAUCAAAAUAAGCAUAAAAAAAGUAUCACGGACAUAAUUUAUCAUAACUCUGGUUUUAUUUGGCCUAUCAACACAAUUUAAAAACUGGUAUAUAGUUUGAGGUCCUCACUUUUGAGAUAAGUUGAAACGGAGGGUGAACGAGGCUCCGUCUUGCAGCUACAUCCGGUUAAAUAUGUCAUGUGACUUGAACGCUGGGGAGCGUCAAUCGACUGCAGAGCCAGCAGACAAAGUAGUUAUGGCCACUGAGAGGCACACAUUUGUCAUAUGCUAUAAUCCUAACAUAUUUAAUGCUUUUUCUAUUUAAACCUAAUGGAUCUAAGGUUUGACCUUCAAAAUUUAGGAAGAAUAUGUUUUUGCAGUAAUGACCCCCUUAAACAACCAGAGGUCCUUUCCUAAAGUUUAUGGAAAUUUUAGUGAAGGGGUGGUUUCUUUCCUUGAAAAAUGUAUAGAAAUAAUAAAGCUAAAUACCAUAAAAUGGUCUUGGCGUAUUAGCAGUGAUAUAAAAUAGUGGUUUGAAUAUGAAUGAACAACAAAAAAAAAACAUCAACAGAGCCUUUUUGAGUUGGGAUUAUUUCAUUAUCACACAAAAACAGACAUAGACAGACAUCUAAAGGGUAAGGGAAUGAUCAGCCCUCCUAACUCUCAGAUGAAUCUUCAAAAUUCACCUCAGAAAUAUGCUUAUUAUUCUUCUCAGAGUACUGCAAGAUAUACACACACACACACACACACACACACACACACACACACACACACACACACACACACACACACACACACACACACACACACACACACACACACACACACACUCAGAGUCUCAAGAAUACAGAGGCUCCUUUUGCCCCUGAAAAAAAUCAAAUUUCAAACACAACUUGACUGCUCAUUUCUCCAAAAGACAACCAUGAAGCUCCAUCCAAACCUGAAGCAGGCAGUUGGUGCAUGUGUACAGUAACCUGAGGGGAGUGAGGUGAGUGCUUCUGAGGAGAACAUGAGCAGUGAAGAUUCACCUUGGAGCUAGAACAGGGACGUGCACAUGAUUAUACAGGGGCAGGGGCUCAAGUUUUUUCCAGUCAUUUAUACAAUAUGGAAAUUAAUGUGAAAUUAAAAACAAAGUAUUAAUAGAAAGGUAAUGACUGUCCUGUUUGGUGACAGUGAUAUCCAAUAGGCUAGGCACUCACGAGGCUGGCUGUGGCAAGUGUAAGUGAAAGCAACACGCACUGGCAGGAAGAACAGCAAACACCGAUGAAGGAAAAGGGUCUUUGCAGUGAUGGGCGUUACCAGAGAGGGCGACGGCCAGAGGACGCGAAUGGAACGGGGAGGCGGUAUCGCUGGGGGCGGCGCGACAUGGCUCGGGCCCGCCAGUGCCCCAACGGGGCCCUAGUUUCUUUUUCCUCCCCUUUGAACUGGAAAAUGGCCCACUUCCCACUGGCGAAAACUCAUGAAAUUUGGCAGGACGACCGGGCCUGGUGAAAAAUUUGAUAUUCUGAAGUCGCCCAAACAAUACAAUGCAAAAUGGCUCCAUAGCGCCCCCUAAGGUGAAAAAUUCACCUGACGCCUGUACGCUUUGUCAAAAUGACACAAAAAUUGACACACACAUGUAUCUCAAUAAGAUCUACAAAAAAGUCAAUGCUGGCGUAUCUGUCAAAUUUACGGUUAAAGGGUUAUUUCGCAUUUUUUGCCGAUCCGCACACAUUGGAAUUUCGUUAACUCCUCCGAAGGCUUUCGUUCCACCGGCACCACAUUUGCUCAGGCCAAUCUACACCCCAUGGCCAUUAAAAGUUAUUCAAAUCAUGACGCUGCACCCCACGGUUUAGGUUCUAGGGGGCGCCAAAGAUAACCCUAAAAUCCACAUAUUUAAAAGUCUUAUAACUUUUUAUUUUUGCCCUCACUGGCCUCCAAGUUUUCUAGGAUGAUGCAAUGUCCAGCCAUCAACACAUUUGUGAAGGAAUUUUUACUCCCCAAAAGAGCGCCCCCCCAUGGCAGGAGAAAAAAGUCCAUUUUUUCUUGUCCCAUAAGGUGAAAAUUCACACUAUUGACUGUCACGCCUGUACGCUUUGUCAAAAUUACACAAAAAUUGACACACACAUGUAUCUCAAUAAGAUCUACAAAAAAGUCAGUGCGGCCGUAUCUGUCAAAUGUACGGUUAAAGGGUUAUUGCGCAUUUUUUGCCGAUCCGCACACAUUGGAAUUUCGCUAACUCCUCCGAAGGCUUUCGUUCCACCGGCACCACAUUUGCUCAGGCCAAUCUACACCCCAUGGCCAUUAAAAGUUAUUCAAAUCAUGACGCUGCACCCCACGGUUUAGGUUCUAGGGGGCGCCAAAGAUAACCCUAAAAUCCACAUAUUUCAAAGUCUUAUAACUUUUUAUUUUUGCCCUCACUGGCCUCCAAGUUUUCUAGGAUGAUGCAAUGUCCAGCCAUCAACACAUUUGUGAAGGAAUUUUUACUCCCCAAAAGAGCGCCCCCCCAUGGCAGGAGAAAAAAGUCCAUUUUUUCUUGUCCCAUAAGGUGAAAAUACACAUUGUUUAGUGUCACGCCUGUACGCUUUGGCAAAAUGACACAAAAAUUGACACACACAUGUAUCUCAAUAAGAUCUACGAAAAAGUCAAUGCGCGCGUAUCUGUCAAAUGUACGGUUAAAGGGUUAUUGCGCAUUUUUUGCCGAUCCGCACACAUUGGAAUGUGGUUAACUCCUCCUAAGGCUUUCGUUCCACUGGCACCACAUUUGCUCAGGCCAGUCUACACCCCAUGGCCAUUAAAAGUAAUUCAAAUCAUGACGCUGCACCCCACGGUUUAGGUUCUAGGGGGCGCCAAAGAUAACCCUAAAAUCCACAUAUUUAAAAGUCUUAUAACUUUUUAUUUUUGUCCUCUCUGGCCUCCAAGUUUUCUAGGAUGAUGCAAUGUCCAGCCAUCAACACAUUUGUGAAGGAAUUUUUACUCCCCAAAAGAGCGCCCCCCCAUGGCAGGAGAAAAAAGACAAUUUUUUCUUGUCCCAUAAGGUGAAAAUACACAUUGUUGACUGUCAUACCUGUAUGCUUUGUCAUAUUGACACAAAAUUUGACACACACAUGUAUCUCAAUAAGAUCUAUGAAAAAGUCAAUGCGCGCGUAUCUGUAAAAUGUACGGUUAAAGGGCUAUUUUGCAUUUUUUGCCGAUUAGCACACAUUGGAAUGUGGCUAACUCCUCCUAAGGCUUUCGUCCCAC